GCGCCUGUAGUCCCAGCUACUCGGGAGGCUGAGGCAGGAGAAUCGCUUGAACCUGGAAGGCGGAGUUGCAGUGAGCCGAGAUGCGCCACUGUGCUCCAGUCUGGGCAACAAAGAGCGAAACUCCAUCUGGAAAACAAACAAACAAACAAAAAACCCACAAAAUAUGUGAAUUUUUCAAAUUGCACAAAAUCUUCUGAUUUUCAUUAUAAGUAUGCAUGUUCUUAUUUUGCAAUGUUCUUAUUUUGUAAUGCAUUCUCAGAAACACAAGUGUUUAGCAACAACCAAACCAAAAUUCUUUCCAGUUAGUUUUGUAAUUUGGGGCCAUAUUUCAAAAGAGUUACUUCAUUUUGUUGCAGGUGAUAUUAAACAGAAAAAUAUACAGACCUUGAGACAAGGGAAUUUUGUCCUUUUCUUUUUGACUUCUAAAGCAGUUUUAAAUUGUUUAUAUGUAUCAAAAGUAAUUCAGUCUAAUACAGUAUAUGGGACUAAUAAUUUAAUCUUUAAAUUAGUUAGCAUUUUGGAUAGUUUAUUAUAAGUGUAAACUUACAACAAUGUAAUACUAUAUAUAAAUUAAAAAUAUAUAUAUAUAACAUAGUAUAGAAGAUUAAAAUAAGAUUCCUCUUUUCCAUAAAUCCUUUCUGACAGAAUCAAAGGCAAGUCAAUGCAAAACAAAAACAAAAGCAGAAAAUUCGCUUUUUCUCCUCAAAUUGGUAUUGAGGUAAACCAGGACUUGAGGGAUUCCACUUUCAUAGCUAUUUUUUGCUUGUUUGUUUGUUUGUUUGUUUGUGACGGAGUCUCGCUCUGUCGCCUGGGCUGGAGUGCAAUGGCAUGAUCUCGGCUCACUGCAACCUCUGCCUCCUGGGUUCAAGCGAUUCUCCGCCUCAGCCUCCUGAGUAGCUAGGAUUACAGGCACCCGCCAUCAUGCCUGGCUAAUUUUUGUGUUUUUGCAGAGACAGGGUUUCACCAUGUUGGCCAAGCUGGUCUUGAACUCCUGACCUCAGGUCAUCCGCCUGCCUUGGCCUCCGAAGGUGCUGGGAUGACAGGCAUGAGCCACCACGCAUGGCCUCUCAUAGAUAUUUGAAUUGGAGUACUUUGCAACUCUAGAGAUUUGGAGGGUGAGUGAGGAUUAUAUAAAAUUUUGAAACUCAUGUUGCCAACUGAGAGGCCAUCAUGAAGUAACAUUUAUUUUAUUUUUUAUUUUUUUCUGAGACGGGGUCUUCUCUGUCAUCCAGGCUGGAGUGCAGUGGCGUAAUGUCAGCUCACUGCGGCCUUCACCUCUUGGGCUCAAACAAUCCUCCCACCUCAGCCUCUCAAAUAGCUGCAACUACAGGAAUGUGCCACCACGUGCCACCACAGUGGCUAAUUUUUUCUAUUUUUUGUAGAGACAGAGUCUCUCUAUGUUGCCCAGGCUGGUCUUGAACUCUUGGGCUCAAGUGAUCCACCCACCUUGGCCUCUUGGAGUGCUGAGAUUACCCGCAUAAGUCAUUGCGCCUGGCCACAUUUAAUUUUUUAAAAAUAAACUACCUGGGUUGUACUUAAUAAACUAUACAUUUAAAAUACUCUAAAAAUCUGAUGAAGGCCUCAAAUGCUAUUUUAAAAUUUUUAAAUUUAGAGACAGAAUCUCACUGUCGCCCAGGUAACCUUCCCUCCGGGCUUAAGUGAUCUUCCUGCCUCAGCCUCCUGAGUAGCUGGGACUACAGGUUCACACCACCAUGCCCGUCUGAUUUUUAAAAAUGUCUGUGGAGACGGGGGUCUCACUUCAUUGCCCAGGCUAGUCUCCUGGGCUCAAGCAAUCCUUCCACCUCAGCCUCCCAAAGUGGUAAGAUGAUACUUGUGAGCCCCCAUGGCUGGCUAUUUUUUUUUUUUUGAGACCGAGUCUGGCUCUGUCGCCUAGGCUGGAGUGCAGUGGAGGGAUCUCAGCUCACUGCAACCUCCGCCUCCCGUGUUCAAGUGAUUCUCCUGCCUCAGCCUCCCAAGUAGCUGGGACUAAAGGCACGUGCCACCACACCCAGCUGAUUUUUGUAUUUUUAGUAGAGAUGGGGUUUUACCACGUUGGCCAGGCUGGUCUCGAACUCCUGACCUCAGGUGAUCCACCCUCUUCGGCCUCCCAAAGUGCUGGGAUUACAGGUGUGAGCCACUGUGCCUGGCCCCAGCUGCUAUUUUUAAAUAACUGAAUAUUGUGAGUAAAAAUUACAGUAAAUCCCAACCUGUGAUGUAACAUUUUGUUACAUGUAAAUGUUAUCAUAUAUGUACAUUGAAAAUACACAAAUAGGCUGGGCACGGUCCUUAUUUCAAUCUUCUUUUUUUUUUGGUUGACUCGUCUCGUGAUUAGAUCAUCCUAUUUACUGAUAAUGUUGCUGACGGAGUUCAUAGCUCUUCUAUUUUAUUCUUGUUUGCUUGUUGUUGGGUUAUUAGUAUUAGCUUCAAUCAGCAGUUUCUUUGUAAAAAAAUCUUUUUAAGCCACUUAUCUACUUCAUGAAGGUUUAGUUAAAACUAGUAGACAAGGCUGGGUGCAGAGGUUCACACCUCUAAUCUCAGUACUGUGGGAGGUCAAGGUGGGAGGAUUCCUUGAGCCCAGGAGUUUGAGACCAACUUGGGCAACAUGGUGAGCUCCCUGUCUCUACAAAAAUAAAAAAAUUAGCCGGGUGUGGUGGUAUGUGCCUGCAGUCCCAGCUACUUAUGAGGCUGCAAGAGGAUCACUUGAUCCCAGGAGGUCCAGGCUGCAGUGAGCUGUGCUUGCACCACUGCACCCAGCCUGGGUAACACAGUGAGAUCCCAUCUCAAAAAAACCCACAAAAAAGUGGGGUGCAGUGUCUCAUGCCUGUAAUCCCAGCACUUUGGGAAGCUGAGGUGGGUGGAACAUUUGAGGCCAGGAGUUCGAGACCAGCCUGGCCAACAUGGUGAAACACAUGUGAGGCCAGGAGUUGGAGACCAGCCUGGCCAACAUGGUGAAACACAACAUGGUAGAAAUACAAAAAAUUAGCUGGGCAUGGUGGCUUGUGCCUGUAAUCCCAGCUACUCAGGAGGCUGAGGCAGGAGGAUCUCUUGAACCCGGGAGGCAGAGGUUGCAGUGAGCCGAGAUCGCGCCACUGCCCUCCAGCCUGGGUGACAGAGCAAGACUCCAUCUAAAAAAAAAAAAAAAAAAAAAACCAAGAAACCACAAAAAAUGAAAAACAAGAAAACAGUAAUUAGUAGAUAAUAAAUUCCAAAACUGAGGACAUACAAAGUAUAGUCUAUAGCAAUCUGCUGAAAACUCCUUUUGUUCUCUCCUUUGGAGGGUAGAACUCUUACUUUCACUUCAGGAUAACUUACCACUAAUUCUGUGUGACUGCUUUGGUAUCCGCCAUGUGAGAGCAAACUUCACUGUGAAUCUAUUAAACAUUAACAACAUUUAAUUCAUUUUCUUUUUUUUUUUUUUUUUUUGAGACGGAGGCUCGCUUUAUCACCAGGCUGGAAUACAGUGGUGCAAUCUCGGCUUACUGCAACCUCCACCUCCUGGGUUCAAGCGAUUCUCCUGGCUCAGCCUCCCGAGUAUCUGGGACUACAGGCACGAACCACCACGCCCAGCUAAUUUUUUUUUAAUUUUUAUUUUUAGUAGAGAUGGGGUUUCAUCAUGUUGGCCAGGAUGGUCUUGAUCUCCUGACCUCGUGAUCUGCCUGCCUCAGCCUCCCAAAGUGCUGGGAUUACAGGCGUGAGCCACUGUGCCGAGCCACCAAUUCAUUUUCAUUAAACAUGGAAAUAAAAACAGAGGUUUAAAUACUUGCUCCUUUUACCCCAAGAGAUAGUCUUGUACAUUCCCUGGGUUUUGUUAGAAAGUGAGUGAUUCAAAAUUCUUAAAUUUUUUUAAAUUAUUGUUUUUGAGACAGGCCCUCACUCUGUUGCCCAGGUUGGAUGGAGUGCAGUGGCAUGAUCACAGGUCACUCUAGCCUCGACCUCCUGGGCCCAAGCAAUCCUCCUGCCUCAGCUUCCUGAGUAGCUGGGACUACAGGUGCACGCCAUCACGCCUGGCUAAUUUUUUUUAACUUUUUUUGUUUUUAGAGACAGAGUCUUGUCCUGUUGCCUGGGCUGGUCUUGAAUUCCUGAUCUUAAGUAAUCCUCCUACCUCGGCCUCCCAAAGUGCUGGGAUUAUAGAUGUGGGCCACCACACCUUCCCUAUUUUGAAUUUUCUAUCAGUAACUGAGAAAGAAGUGUUGCAAUCUCCAAACAUAUCAUAAUUUUGUUUGGUCUCUAAGUUUUCUUUGUUUUUGCUUUACAUAUUUUGAAGCUCUGUGCAUAAACACUUAAGAUUUCUUAGAUCCUCUUAAUGAACUGACCCCUUCAUUAUUAUGAAAUGUCUCUCUCACAAGUAAUGGUCUUCAUUCUAAAAUCUACUUUGAUAUUAAUAUAUUUCAACAUUCUUUUCACUGGGGUUUUCAUAUGGGCAGUUUAUAGAUGGGUCUUGUUUUUUGCCGAAGUUGAUUAUUUCUGUCAUUCAUUAAUUCAUUUAUGAGACAGGGUUAGGCUAUCUCCCAGGCUGUAGUGCAGUGGCAUUAUCUUGGAUCACUGCAACCUCUGCCUCCUGGGCUCAUGCCAUCCUCCCACCUCAGCCUCUCAAGUAGCUGGGACCACAGGUGUGCACCACCACACUCGUAUAAUUUUUGUAUUCUUUGUAGAGACGGGUUUUUGCCAUGUUGUCCGGUCUGGUUUUGAAUUCCUGAGCUCAAGUAAUCCGCCCACCUGGGCCUCCCAAAGUGCUGGGAUUACAGGCCUGAGCCACUGUGCCCA
RNAcentral lists this long non-coding RNA (4764 nucleotides) under Homo sapiens (human). Its description in RNAcentral is "HSALNT0045803". The record is from RNAcentral. Lineage: Eukaryota; Metazoa; Chordata; Mammalia; Primates; Hominidae.